This 210-nucleotide non-coding RNA is filed under the name Rhodospirillum centenum. Lineage: Bacteria; Pseudomonadati; Pseudomonadota; Alphaproteobacteria; Rhodospirillales; Rhodospirillaceae. The record is from RNAcentral. RNAcentral also lists the same sequence under 1 other name.
UACGGUAUUUAGCGUUACGGUCCUCCGGACAACACAAUAUGUAGUUAUCCGGGGGCUAAGAGGGAAGCCGGUGCAAUUCCGGCGCUGCCCCCGCAACUGUCAGCGGCGAGCUGCCGACCUUUCAUGUCACUGGUGCCGACCGGCACCGGGAAGACCGGACGGUGGCGCGGACCCGCAAGCCAGGAGACCUGCCGUAACCCAGUCUACCAU